RNAcentral lists this ribosomal RNA (434 nucleotides) under uncultured bacterium. RNAcentral describes it as "partial 16S ribosomal RNA". It matches the Rfam family "Bacterial small subunit ribosomal RNA", at positions 29 to 507 of the family's 1533-position model. The record is from RNAcentral.
AGCGAACGCUGGCGGCAGGCCUAACACAUGCAAGUCGAACGAACCUUUCGGGGUUAGUGGCGGACGGGUGAGUAACACAUGGGAACGUACCUUUAGGUUCGGAAUAACUCAGGGAAACAUGUGCUAAUACCAAAUGUGCCCUUAGGGGGAAAGAUCUAUUGCCUUUUGAGCGGCCUUCGUCUGGUUAGCUAGUUGGGUGAGGUAAUGGCUCAUCAAGGCGACGAUCAGUAGCUGGUCUGGUAGGAGGAUAAGCCACGUUGGAGCUGAGACACGGCCCACACUGCUACGGUAGACAGCGGUAGGGUGUCCUACGCACUGAGCCCAAACCUGACAAAGCCACGGCGCGUGUAUGAUCAAUGUCUUAGGAUUCCAAAAUUGCUUCAGCCGAGACGAUAAUGACGGUACCAGGUAAAGAAGCCCCGGCUAACUUCGUG